GCUGGCGGCACGCCUAAUACAUGCAAGUCGAACGAAGUAGCAAUACUUAGUGGCAGACGGGUGAGUAAUAUGUAGGUAUCUUCCCAUUGGUGAGGAAUAACACGAGGAAACUUGUGCUAAUACCUCAUAAGUCUUCACGGAGAAAGCUUUAUGCGCCGAUGGAUGAGCCUGCACUUGAUUAGUUUGUUGGUAGGGUAAUGGCCUACCAAGACAAUGAUCAAUAGCUGAUUUGAGAGGAUGAUCAGCCACAUUGGGACUGAGACACGGCCCAAACUCCUACGGGAGGCAGCAGUAGGGAAUCUUGCACAAUGGGGGAAACCCUGAUGCAGCGAUGCCGCGUGAGUGAAGAAGGCCUUUGGGUUGUAAAGCUCUUUCGUCGGGGAAGAAAAUGACUGUACCCGAAUAAGAAGGUCCGGCUAACUUCGUGCCAGCAGCCGCGGUAAUACGAAGGGACCUAGCGUAGUUCGGAAUUACUGGGCUUAAAGAGUUCGUAGGUGGUUAAAAAAGUUGGUGGUGAAAUCCCAGAGCUUAACUCUGGAACUGCCAUCAAAACUUUUUAGCUAGAGUAUGAUAGAGGAAAGCAGAAUUUCUAGUGUAGAGGUGAAAUUCGUAGAUAUUAGAAAGAAUACCAAUUGCGAAGGCAGCUUUCUGGAUCAUUACUGACACUGAGGAACGAAAGCAUGGGUAGCGAAGAGGAUUAGAUACCCUCGUAGUCCAUGCCGUAAACGAUGUGUGUUAGACGUUGGAAAUUUAUUUUCUGUGUCGCAGCGAAAGCAAUAAACACACCGCCUGGGGAGUACGACC
This 804-nucleotide ribosomal RNA is filed under the name uncultured Pelagibacteraceae bacterium. RNAcentral's name for it is "bacterial SSU rRNA". It matches the Rfam family "Bacterial small subunit ribosomal RNA", at positions 35 to 887 of the family's 1533-position model. The record is from RNAcentral. Lineage: Bacteria; Pseudomonadati; Pseudomonadota; Alphaproteobacteria; Candidatus Pelagibacterales; Candidatus Pelagibacteraceae.